AACACAUGCAAGUCGCACGAGAAAGCCCGUUUUCGGAUGGGCGAGUAAAGUGGCGCACGGGUGAGUAACGCGUGGGCAGCCUACCCUUGUAUCUGGGAUAACAGUGCGAAAGUGCUGCUAAUACCGGAUACGACCCUUGAGCGGGAGCUUGAGGGUGAAAGUCGGCCUCUCGAAGAAGCUGGCGUACAGGGAUGGGCCUGCGUCCUAUCAGCUAGUUGGCGGGGUAACGGCCCACCAAGGCGACGACGGGUAGGCUGGUUUGAGAGGAUGAUCAGCCACACUGGCACUGGAACACGGGCCAGACUCCUACGGGAGGCAGCAGUGAGGAAUUUUGCGCAAUGGCCGCAAGGCUGACGCAGCAACGCCGCGUGGGUGAAGAAGGCCUUCGGUCGUAAAGCCCUGUCAGGUGGGAAG
RNAcentral lists this ribosomal RNA (414 nucleotides) under uncultured Desulforhabdus sp. RNAcentral describes it as "bacterial SSU rRNA". It matches the Rfam family "Bacterial small subunit ribosomal RNA", at positions 50 to 447 of the family's 1533-position model. Lineage: Bacteria; Pseudomonadati; Thermodesulfobacteriota; Syntrophobacteria; Syntrophobacterales; Syntrophobacteraceae. The record is from RNAcentral.